UGAUCAUCCACACUGGAGCUGAUACACGGUCCAGACUCCUACGGGAGGCAGCAGUGGGGAAUUUUCCUCAAUGGGGGAAAGCCUGACGGACCAAGACCGCGUGAGGGAUGAAGGCUGUUGGGUUGUUGACCUCUUUUGUCAGGGAAGAAGAAAGUGACGGUACCUGACGAAUCAGCCUCGGCUAACUCCGUGCCAGCAGCCGCGGUAAUACGGAG
RNAcentral lists this ribosomal RNA (215 nucleotides) under uncultured bacterium. RNAcentral describes it as "partial 16S ribosomal RNA". It matches the Rfam family "Bacterial small subunit ribosomal RNA", at positions 301 to 530 of the family's 1533-position model. The record is from RNAcentral.